RNAcentral lists this ribosomal RNA (253 nucleotides) under uncultured bacterium. Its description in RNAcentral is "partial 16S ribosomal RNA". It matches the Rfam family "Bacterial small subunit ribosomal RNA", at positions 524 to 776 of the family's 1533-position model. The record is from RNAcentral.
UACGAAGGGUGCAAGCGUUACUCGGAAUCACUGGGCGUAAAGCGUGCGUAGGCGGUUGGUUAAGUCUGCUGUGAAAGCCCUGGGCUCAACCUGGGAACUGCAGUGGAUACUGGCCAGCUCGAGUGUGAUAGAGGAUGGUGGAAUUCCUGGUGUAGCGGUGAAAUGCGUAGAGAUCGGGAGGAACACCAGUGGCGAAGGCGGCCAGCUGGAUCAACACUGACGCUGAGGCACGAAAGCGUGGGGAGCAAACAGG